GCUAUACAUGCAGUCGAGCGAACAGAUAAGGAGCUUGCUCCUUUGACGUUAGCGGCGGACGGGUGAGUAACACGUGGGUAACCUACCUAUAAGACUGGGAUAACUUCGGGAAACCGGAGCUAAUACCGGAUAAUAUUUCGAACCGCAUGGUUCGAUAGUGAAAGAUGGUUUUGCUAUCACUUAUAGAUGGACCCGCGCCGUAUUAGCUAGUUGGUAAGGUAACGGCUUACCAAGGCGACGAUACGUAGCCGACCUGAGAGGGUGAUCGGCCACACUGGAACUGAGACACGGUCCAGACUCCUACGGGAGGCAGCAGUAGGGAAUCUUCCGCAAUGGGCGAAAGCCUGACGGAGCAACGCCGCGUGAGUGAUGAAGGUCUUCGGAUCGUAAAACUCUGUUAUUAGGGAAGAACAUACGUGUAAGUAACUGUGCACGUCUUGACGGUACCUAAUCAGAAAGCCACGGCUAACUACGUGCCAGCAGCCGCGGUAAUACGUAGGUGGCAAGCGUWWYCSGGAAUUAUUGGGCGUAAAGCGCGCGUAGGCGGUUUUUUAAGUCUGAUGUGAAAGCCCACGGCUCAACCGUGGAGGGUCAUUGGAAACUGGAAAACUUGAGUGCAGAAGAGGAAAGUGGAAUUCCAUGUGUAGCGGUGAAAUGCGCAGAGAUAUGGAGGAACACCAGUGGCGAAGGCGACUUUCUGGUCUGUAACUGACGCUGAUGUGCGAAAGCGUGGGGAUCAAACAGGAUUAGAUACCCUGGUAGUCCACGCCGUAAACGAUGAGUGCUAAGUGUUAGGGGGUUUCCGCCCCUUAGUGCUGCAGCUAACGCAUUAAGCACUCCGCCUGGGGAGUACGACCGCAAGGUUGAAACUCAAAGGAAUUGACGGGGACCCGCACAAGCGGUGGAGCAUGUGGUUUAAUUCGAAGCAACGCGAAGAACCUUACCAAAUCUUGACAUCCUUUGACAACUCUAGAGAUAGAGCUUUCCCCUUCGGGGGACAAAGUGACAGGUGGUGCAUGGUUGUCGUCAGCUCGUGUCGUGAGAUGUUGGGUUAAGUCCCGCAACGAGCGCAACCCUUAAGCUUAGUUGCCAUCAUUAAGUUGGGCACUCUAAGUUGACUGCCGGUGACAAACCGGAGGAAGGUGGGGAUGACGUCAAAUCAUCAUGCCCCUUAUGAUUUGGGCUACACACGUGCUACAAUGGACAAUACAAAGGGCAGCGAAACCGCGAGGUCAAGCAAAUCCCAUAAAGUUGUUCUCAGUUCGGAUUGUAGUCUGCAACUCGACUACAUGAAGCUGGAAUCGCUAGUAAUCGUAGAUCAGCAUGCUACGGUGAAUACGUUCCCGGGUCUUGUACACACCGCCCGUCACACCACGAGAGUUUGUAACACCCGAAGCCGGUGGAGUAACCAUUUGGAGCUAGCCGUCGAAGGUGGGACAAAUGAUUGGGGUGAAGUCGA
RNAcentral lists this ribosomal RNA (1459 nucleotides) under Staphylococcus sp. SB-3. RNAcentral's name for it is "bacterial SSU rRNA". It matches the Rfam family "Bacterial small subunit ribosomal RNA". Lineage: Bacteria; Bacillati; Bacillota; Bacilli; Caryophanales; Staphylococcaceae. The record is from RNAcentral.